ACUCCUGGUCCACCAUCGCCCCUCGAGUGCUACUAUCGCCUUUUACUAUAGUAACCCGGGUGGUGGAUCAAAUUGAGAAACUUAGCUUUUUCUAAACUCUGCCUUCGGGUGGAGU
Small nuclear RNA from Symsagittifera roscoffensis, 115 nucleotides. RefSeq annotates it as U5 spliceosomal RNA. The record is from RefSeq and is a predicted model, not a curated record. The transcript has a single exon. Lineage: Eukaryota; Metazoa; Xenacoelomorpha; Acoela; Convolutidae.